CCCCUCUCAGGGUCGCAUCUGGAGAGUUUCCAGGACUCUACCAGUCUUAACUACGGGAGGGAGGGUCAAGCCGAGGCCCAUCCAUUCCAUUCCUAGCUUGGCCAGUGGCUAGUGAGUAGAAGGCUAUCUGCUACAAGU
Small nucleolar RNA from Ornithorhynchus anatinus (platypus), 138 nucleotides. NCBI's taxonomy places the organism in Eukaryota, Metazoa, Chordata, Mammalia, Monotremata, Ornithorhynchidae. The record is from RefSeq and is a predicted model, not a curated record.